Molecule: ribosomal RNA, 469 nt
Filed under: uncultured bacterium
Lineage: Bacteria
Description: bacterial SSU rRNA
Rfam family: Bacterial small subunit ribosomal RNA
Source: RNAcentral
AUUGAACGCUGGCGGCAGGCCUAACACAUGCAAGUCGAGCGGUAGAGAGGUGCUUGCAUCUCUUGAGAGCGGCGGACGGGUGAGUAAUGCCUAGGAAUCUGCCUAGUGGUGGGGGAUAACGUUCGGAAACGGACGCUAAUACCGCAUACGUCCUACGGGAGAAAGCGGGGGAUCUUCGGACCUCGCGCCAUUAGAUGAGCCUAGGUCGGAUUAGCUAGUUGGUGAGGUAAUGGCUCACCAAGGCGACGAUCCGUAACUGGUCUGAGAGGAUGAUCAGUCACACUGGAACUGAGACACGGUCCAGACUCCUACGGGAGGCAGCAGUGGGGGAAUAUUGGACAAUGGGCGAAAGCCUGAUCCAGCCAUGCCGCGUGUGUGAAGAAGGUCUUCGGAUUGUAAAGCACUUUAAGUUGGGUAGGAAGGGCAGUAAGUUAAUACCUUGCUGUUUGUACGUUACCAACAGAAUAAG